This 467-nucleotide ribosomal RNA is filed under the name uncultured bacterium. RNAcentral's name for it is "bacterial SSU rRNA". It matches the Rfam family "Bacterial small subunit ribosomal RNA", at positions 29 to 506 of the family's 1533-position model. The record is from RNAcentral.
AUGAACGCUGGCGGCGUGUCUAAGGCAUGCAAGUCGAACGUUCCAAUUGCGAUUACAUCAAAGAUUGGAAAGUGGCAGACGGGAGCGUAACACAUUGGUAAUAUUCCUCGAAGUCGUGAACAACCUUGGGAAACUAGGGCUAAUACACGAUGGUCAAGGGGGGUCGAAAGACAUUCCCUUGUAAAGCUCAGGCGCUUCGAGAUUAGCCUAUGCCCUAUCAGCUAGUUGGUGAGGUAAAAGCUCACCAAGGCUAUGACGGGUCGGGGGCGUAAGAGCGUGACCCCCCUCACUGGGACUGAGACACUGCCCAGACACCUACGGGUGGCUGCAGUCAAGAAUAUUCGGCAAUGGACGAAAGUCUGACCGAGCGACGCCGCGUGCAAGAUGAAGCCCUUCGGGGUGUAAAUUGCUUUUUUCAGGGACGAACAAAUGACGGUACCUGAAGAAUAAGAGGUUGCUAACUCUGU